RNAcentral lists this ribosomal RNA (495 nucleotides) under uncultured bacterium. RNAcentral describes it as "partial 16S ribosomal RNA". It matches the Rfam family "Bacterial small subunit ribosomal RNA", at positions 28 to 507 of the family's 1533-position model. The record is from RNAcentral.
GAUGAACGCUGGCGGCGUGCUUAACACAUGCAAGUCGAACGAAGCACCUCUCCCGAAGAUUGACACAGCUUGCUGUAGAUUGAUUCAUUUGAGGUGACUGAGUGGCGGACGGGUGAGUAACGCGUGGGUAACCUGCCUCAUAGAGGGGGACAACAGUUGGAAACGACUGCUAAUACCGCAUAGUAAGAAGAAUUCGCAUGUUUUCUUCUUGAAAGAUUUAUCGCUAUGAGAUGGACCCGCGUCUGAUUAGCUAGUUGGUAAGGUAACGGCUUACCAAGGCGACGAUCAGUAGCCGGCUUGGGAGAGUGAACGGCCACAUUGGGACUGAGACACGGCCCAAACUCCUACGGGAGGCAGCAGUGGGGAAUAUUGCACAAUGGGGGAAACCCUGAUGCAGCGACGCCGCGUGAGUGAAGAAGUAUUUCGGUAUGUAAAGCUCUAUCAGCAGGGAAGAUAAUGACGGUACCUGACUGAGAAGCCCCGGCUAACUACGUG